Canis lupus familiaris (dog) is the source of this 661-nucleotide long non-coding RNA. RefSeq lists it as uncharacterized. The record is from RefSeq and is a predicted model, not a curated record. Lineage: Eukaryota; Metazoa; Chordata; Mammalia; Carnivora; Canidae. The transcript is spliced from 3 exons.
CAGCGGGUCCCGGCGGCGGGGAGCGGGGCGCAGGGCGCGGGGCGCGGGGAGCCCGGGGCUCAGCGCGAUGCUGGCGCUGUCCGAGGUGCUGGACGCCGGCGGUGAGCGCUCCGGGGCCGCCGCUGUCCGCGGGCAUCUCCGCGAAGGCCAAGCGUGGCGUCAGGUGCAAGCAGCGCGGGAUCUCUGCACCCUACACAGGGCUUGAACUUACAUCCAGGAGAUCAAGAGUCACAGGCUCCAUGGACAGAGCUGGCCAGGAGCUCCUGCAGCAGAUUCCUGGGCUUCAUGGACAGUGAGGGAUUGAUGGAGCCAGCCAGGGUGCUGCCAAACCAUGAGGUCUGGCCCCAGCGCACAGCUGCCUCAACCGCUGCUGCUGACAGCACUCCCACACGCGACACAGGACGGUCCCCACAUGCGCAGGGGACACACAUGUCCCUCAACUCUAGAAUCGUGUGACCUCAAUGUCCUUGGAUCUGAAGACCAGAGUGGAACCAACAGAAGCAAGAAUUAAGAAAAGACAGCAGAACACACAAAGCUUGAUCUCAUGGUCAUGAGUUCGAGCCCCACACUGGGUAUAGAGAUCACUUUUUAAAAAUUAAAAAAAAAAAAAGACAGGGACACCUGAGUGGCUCAGCAGUUGAGUGUCUGCCUUUGGCUCAGG